CGGUUAAUCGGACUCAACGCCGGGAAACUCACCAGAUAAGACAGCUGAAUGAUAGUCGGGCUGAAGACUCUACUUGACUAGCUGAGAGGAGGUGCAUGGCCGUCGUCAGUUCGUACUGUGAAGCAUCCUGUUAAGUCAGGCAACGAGCGAGACCCACGCCAACAGUUGCCAGCUCGUCCUCCGGGAUGGUGGGGACACUGUUGGGACCGCCUCUGCUAAAGAGGAGGAAGGAAUGGGCAACGGUAGGUCAGCAUGCCCCGAAUUAUCUGGGCUACACGCGGGCUACAAUGGGUGGGACAAUGGGUAUCGACACCGAAAGGUGAAGGCAAUCUCCUAAACCCAUCCGUAGUUCGGAUUGUGGGCUGCAACUCGCCCACAUGAAGCUGGAAUCUGUAGUAAUCGUGUCUCAAAAUGGCACGGUGAAUAUGUCCCUGCUCCUU
Molecule: ribosomal RNA, 440 nt
Filed under: uncultured Methanomicrobiales archaeon
Lineage: Archaea; Methanobacteriati; Methanobacteriota; Methanomicrobia; Methanomicrobiales
Description: bacterial SSU rRNA
Rfam family: Archaeal small subunit ribosomal RNA
Source: RNAcentral